CGACCCCUUUUCCAUUGGUAUGAAUUUCGGUAACUGGGGCUAAUUUCCGAUAGGUGAAGCUCUCUGGAAUGAGUCUUUGCUCAAAGGGCAUCUGGGGCAUGCUUCUAGAUGCUGCCUAAGGAUGGGGCCGCGGCCGAUCAGGUUGUUGGUGAGGUAACGGCUCACCAAGCCUUUUACCGGUACGGGCCGUGGGAGCGGUAGCCCGGAGAUGGGCACUGAGACAAGGGCCCAGGCCCUACGGGGCGCAGCAGUCGCGAAAACUUCGCAAUAAGCGAAAGCUUGACGGGGCUAUCCCGAGUGCCAUCUGCUGAGGAUGGCUUUUACCCAGUAUAGAUAGCUGGGGGAAUAAGGAGAGGGCAAGUCUGGUGUCAGCCGCCGCGGUAAUACCAGCUCUCCGAGUUGUGGGGAUGAUUAUUGGGCCUGAAGCAUCCGUAGCCGGCUAAGCAAGUCCUCUGUUAAAUCCAGCGAUAAAUCGUUGGCCUGCGGGGGAUACUGCUUGGCUAGGGGGCGGGAGAGGCCGUCGGUAUUCUUGGGGUAGGGGUGAAAUCCUAUAAUCCCAGGAGGACCACCAGUGGCGAAGGCUGUCGGCUAGAACGCGCCCGACGGUGAGGGAUGAAAGCUGGGGGAGCGAACCGGAUUAGAUACCCGGGUAGUCCCAGCUGUAAACGAUGCAGGCUAGGUGUUAGGGCGGCUACGGGCCGCUCUAGUGCCGCAGGGAAGCUGUUAAGCCUGCCGCCUGGGGAGUACGGCCGCAAGGCUGAAACUUAAAGGAAUUGGCGGGGGAGCAC
This 788-nucleotide ribosomal RNA is filed under the name uncultured archaeon. Its description in RNAcentral is "bacterial SSU rRNA". It matches the Rfam family "Archaeal small subunit ribosomal RNA", at positions 105 to 879 of the family's 1478-position model. The record is from RNAcentral.